GGUAAAGUGACGUAGAUCAGUGGAUACACUUGUCUCCCCUUUAAAGGAGACAAUCCAAGUCAUCCUUAAAUAUGGGCAGCAUAUCAGUCUUGGACUGUCUAACCUGCCGGAGCAGCACUGAAUGACCACCACACAUGAGCAUGUUCCUGCAACAUUCAGCAUCUGAUCCUUCAUCUGUGUGCUUCUGCUUUUGUGUCACAUGUCAAACAGCUGGAGAGGAAACUACACCAGUGUACUGGGAUGUUUCACCAACACGUGCCAGAUGCUGUUCCUUCAUGGUGACAUCACAGAGACAGCCCCACCCACCUCAGGACCUCGCCAUUUAUCAUGAUGAUUAUAAUGAUGACAGCGAGCGGAACUAAGACUGUAAAAAUCCAC
Non-coding RNA from Maylandia zebra (zebra mbuna), 378 nucleotides. Lineage: Eukaryota; Metazoa; Chordata; Actinopteri; Cichliformes; Cichlidae. The record is from RefSeq and is a predicted model, not a curated record.